This 10609-nucleotide long non-coding RNA is filed under the name Brachypodium distachyon (stiff brome). Its description in RNAcentral is "long non-coding RNA (BDIS_LNC002282)". The record is from RNAcentral. Lineage: Eukaryota; Viridiplantae; Streptophyta; Magnoliopsida; Poales; Poaceae.
CGUCCUAUGAGCUGUCCCGGCCGGCUCUCCUCCGUUCCAUCCUACUGCGGCGGUUUCCGAAUCGAUCUCUGCCACGGCCGCACCUAGUGUUGGGCAGCAAAAGUAGACUGUAAUACCCUGAAUUUUUAUAAAGGUUAAUUUCAGAUUGGAACGAAAGAAUUGACCAGAAUUUGACUUUCCGAAUCACAGGCCGUACGGAAAAUCGAAGACCACGGUUAGAUUCGUCUCGUCCAGUUGAUCGAAAUUGACUAUAGGUUCGUCAAUUUCGGAGCCCGGAUCAAUUUGCCGCAACACCCUUUAUUUUCAGCCUUUAAGUGAAUUUGGAAUUAAAGAAAAAAAAAACCCAGCGUGCGGUGUGGAACUGAGUCGGAGAAGGAUCGGGGACCUUGGUUUAAUCCCCUGUUUUACUGCCCAAGGCCGAGAGCAACCCCAGCCGCCAACGCCUAGGGUUAGUUCGCCGUUGCCGCCGUCACGAGCUCGCCUCUGCUGCUGUCUGGUGACUGCCCUGCUGCUGGUGCCGCCGUGGUUGCAGUCCGCGCUGCUCGCCGUCGUUGGAGUCCUCGUUGGUCGCCGUCGCUACUGCCAGGUACGAGUUGGGCUGUUUCUCUGCCGCCUGGAAGUAUUUUCCUCGCUCGCUGCAACUCGUUCCAGUGAAUUGAAUUGACAAGUUCUGCUCUAGCUGCUGUUGCCCGAUUGAAUCAACUGCUAGUUCAAGCCGCUGGUUGUUUAGCACCUGGAAUUAGUACACUGCUGUUUAGCACCUGGAAUUGUUGCUAGAAGCUGUGUGCAUCGAAUUGAGGUGGCUUGUUUGGUCAGCUUCAGCAGCAUGUCAGGUUUUAGAUGGAUUGUUCUUUUAACCAGAAAGGCUAUCAGUACAUAACAAGUUUGGCAAGUCUGUACUUUUCUGUUUAUUGGAAACAAGACACGAAUCUGGUUUGGUUGGUCUUGGUAAAAGUAAUAAAAUGAGCAGAUUGUGGCUUAAGUUUAAAUGCCUUGUCCAGCCAUGUUUAGUUGUCAGCUCUUUUUAUUAAAUCUUAGGAUUUGAGUUGGUAUUAAGACUUGCUUUACCCCACCGGUCCAGGAGUUUCGGGUAUGAGGCAUAAAUCUGCAGAUUAAUUGUCCGUCCUAUUUCGGGAUUAAGGCAAGUACAUGACGAGCCCCCUUUGACAUUGUUUGCCAACGUUGUUUGGUUAUCCGAGUUGAUAUUUGAAUUCCUUGGGGUUUGUGCUAUCGGAAGGUUUUGUUUUAAGCCAGGGCGGUGAGUAAGUUAUAGGUAACUAUUCCGGUGCGGUCGGUGAGUUAAGUUAUUAUGUAACUUUCUGGUGAGCUUGAGCUAAGUCGGUGAGUAAUUCACUUGUUUAACUAUUCCAAUGCAGACGGUGAGAAAGUUAACGGUGAAUAUUCCAGAAUGCUCCAAUCAAAAAAAGUACAAAGUUUAUAAAGAGUUUCAUGGCUUUAUUUUGGACAGUGUUUCAAUAUGAUGAAUGUUGUUAUUUUGGCUCCAUACUGUCCUUUGCUGAGUAACGAUUACUCACUCUUGCUCUCUUGUUGUUUGUUUUAUUUGGUUUUCAGGUACUCCGAGUAGUGGCAUGCAUGGGCGGGAGUAGCAUCACUAUGCACUGGACAGCACACAUAUCACAUAUUAAAGAUUAAAGUUUUAGUUUCAUACCUCCUGUUUUACUUGAGAAACAGCCAGCAUAGAGAACCCUUUUGCAUUCUCGUGUGAGAUUUAGUCUUUGGUCGCUUAUUGGUUACUUGUAUUGGAGUAUUUAGUUAUUAUGAACUUCGUGCAUGUCUUUCUAGCUUCCUGGUUAUAUUUGAGAGAUAUUAUAAAUUGCCUGUUGUGGAUGUCCAUAUAAACAAAGGAGACUUUGCCGAAAAUUCUAGUUUUUUUUCCUAAGAGUUAGCUUUAUUUGCAUAGUGUAGUAAUAUUCCGGAUAGGGUCGAUGUACGGGGUGUUACAGUUGGUAUCAGAGCCUAGGCUUUAGAUCUCUGGAGUAGGUUACCUGGAAAAAAAAUUGAACUAGGAUUUAACAACUUAAAAUUUUGACACACUGGUGCACAAUAGGAUGGGUUAUUGGGUUAUGCAUUGCAUUUUUAUUACCAUCCUCAGUUUUCAUGUUUAUGGACUUUCUUGAUUAAACUUGUUCUUGAUUUUGUGGUUUUGCUCAGAGCGAUGCCACCGAGGCGUCGUGGUCGUGGUGGAGGUCGUGGAAACAAUGGGGGCGGCGGUAGCGACGCAAAUCAGCCUACUGGUAGCAGUCACGGAGAUGCAGAAGCAUCUGUGAGCCAAUCUAGUGAUCAUGAUGCCCCUGCUCCAACUAUGACGCUCAGCAAGUGGUUGGCCAUGCGCUUGGACACUUUUGAUGGAACAGGGACACCCAUGGAGGCAUCAAGUUGGUUGCACACAAUGGAGAAGUACAUGGGUGCCUUAGUGAUGACCCCGCAGGAAAGGGUUGUCUUUGUAGAUUUUCAGCUAAAGGGUUUGGCUGAUGUGUAACAUCCCAAUUUUCAAAACUCUUCAUAUGCAUUGCAUAUCAUAAGCAUCAUGUCACCCUUGCAUUUAAUCAUUUUCAAAACCCUAAAAUUUGUCCAGAAAACCCUUUUGCAAAGAUGCCUUUAUUUGAUUUUGGGUUUUGAUCUUGCUCUUGAGUAUUUGCAUUUUAACCCAUGAGGGUAUUGUGGUAAAAAGGGAUUUAAUGCAUAUAUAGAGCUAUCCCAUAAUUGGCUUUUAAGUAUUUUGAAAAAUAAUUUGUUUCGAUAGCCUAAGGGCCCUAAAAGCCAUUUUAUAGGCAAAUAUAUUUUUAGAUAUUUUAUUAUGAGAAAAUUCUUGUUUCAAAAGUUAAAUCAUAUGAAAAUAUGAUUUUUUUUGUUACAUUUUAUUUGGAGUGAUUUGGAGCUUCGAAUCAAUUUUGAGGUUCAAAAACAGAAAAUAGAUAAAAGAAAAAGAAAAACCGAGGAAAACCGGUCAAACCGGACCGGACCGGACCAACCGGACCGGCUCAGCCCAGCCGGAGCCGCCCGCUCUCCCUGACCGGUGGGACCCCCGCGUCUUCUUCAACCUCCGACCGACAAAUCCGGCCACGCACGCUCCGCGAACUGCCGACGAUUCCACCUCCGAUUUCUCCGCGCACGGGCCGUUUCCUCCAAAUUCCUGCGCGUCACCUCGAAGCCCUCGAACUCCUCUACCAAUUCCCUCAAACCGCUCGCCCAAUUUCGCUUCGGUUAGGAUUUAAUUUCUCGCCGAAGUUCUUCACGGACGUCGUCGUUCUUCGCGUUUUGCCGUCGUUCCGGUGAGCUUCCGCCCGCGCCGACCCUCUCCCCUUCUUCCUCUCUCCAGCGCGUAUGCCGUGACGCACUCGCUUUCGAGUUUGGCCGCCGUUGCCGCGCCGUCCUUGCGCCGCCGUCCACUGCCCGUCUUCCCCGCCUCCGGCCGCCUGCCCGCCCCGAGCCGCUCGCGCCGCUCCGCCUUCCGCCUGCCCGCGCGCCGCCUCCUCCCGCGCUGCCCCGAGCUGAGCUCCCCGCGCCCGCCGCCUGCGUGCCGACCGUGCCGCCGCUCGCGGCCCCGCGCCGCUCGCCCGCGCUGCCGCACCGCCCCGCGCCGCUCGCCGCCGCCGUCCGGCGAGCAAGCCCCGUCGGCCGGAACCCUAGAUCCCGGCCUAUCCCGCGCUGCCACGUGGCAAAGCAUUUUGUUUUAUUUUAAUUCGGCCGAAUUAGAUAAUGCAUUUUUGCAGAAAAGUCCCUGUAACUUCAAAACCUCAUAUCUUUCAAACCGUUUGUCCAAAAAUUGUGAUCCGCACCUUUCUGGAAUCGUCACAACGUGCAGAAUUUUUGGCACUGUUUAAUUUCAGUUUUGAACAACUUAGACAGUAGCUAUUUACAGAAUGGUUGAAUAUGGUUUAAAUUUCAAAUGAAUUGUUUCAAAAUAGUUUUUGAACAUGUUAUCUUGCUGUAAAAUUAUUUAAACUUGUUCUCUGUCCAUUAGGACCAGAAAAGAAAUUAUUUUGUGUAUAAUCAUGGCAUGCAAGUUAAAUAUUGCUCUAUGUUGCAAAAGCCGCACAAUCUUUUGUUUUAAACCCUAUCCAUGUAUCAUGCAUAUUAAUUACCACUUGAUGUUGUAUAAUCUGUCCAAAUCUUUUGAAAAACUUUUCAAAACAGAAACAAAACUUGUAUUUUGGAAGUAACCUUUGUGUGCAUCAUCAUGGCAUAUGCAUCAUGGCAUGGCUUUUGUACUGAAUGUUGUGUUUAUUGUGUGUUUGUUUCUUUUAUUUUAGAUUGUGUGGAGUGUAAUUCCUUGUUAUUGCGAAGAGUGCGAGAACUAUCACAACCUUGGAAAAUGCAAGUUCACUUUGAUCAUAUCCCAUUAUUAUUGUUGUUUUAAAAUACUUAUGCAUAGUGUUGUUGGUAGAGAUGCAUUGAUAGGACUAUUACUCGUACCUCUAUGCUAGCUAUAAAUCUCAGGUAGUAUAGUUUACCCUCGCCAUUACCUUGCCACCAAAUUGCCAUCGAUUGUAGUUGAAUGCUAGGCUAUGGCAGUAUCGUGGGGGAAAUUACUACAUUAUGAUAUUGUUAUGCCUUUGGCGAUAUGAAAUGUUUUAUUAGAUGUAAGGCAAAACAAUUAAUUCAAUGAACCGUCCUGGGUGGGCUGCUUUGAAGAUUUUGAGGAUUAGCGGCGUCAGGUCCAUUUGUAUGGGUCCCUCUGAGUCGAGUUCCUGUGGAUUCAGGAAUGGAUCGUCCAUGGAUGUCUCUCCCGUGGAUUCGGUGAGCGCUUACGUUGCAAAUGUGGAAUGCCACCUGGGGUAAUUGAGACUGGACUAGUUUCCUAUUUAGAAGCUUCUAGUACAACCACAAUGCUAUAUGGGCUCUGGCGAGACAAGAGUAAGUUGUAUGAACCUAGACCCGAGGAAUUGUACUGAGGUAGCCGUGUAGGGGGAGCGUGAUUCUCUCGUGGUUUAGGGAAUUACCUCUGAAAAUCUCGUAAUCGAUGCCGUUGCUACUCUACCCUGAGGACAGCAAGGGAUUAACACGUCGGUUUCUUGUGGGGAAUGUGUACAAACUCUCGAGAGCGUCAAAACUAAGUACUUAGCCGUAUCCCCGGCAACGGACAAUUUGAGCAACUAGAUGUGGAGCUGUAAGGAAGGUCUCACUCAUUCCAAUUUCUUAAAUAAAAUAAAUGGUUUGAACAGGGUAGGAGCACUUGAAGAAUCCACUUCAAUGUACUCUAAGUUAAUAGGAGCAUGGGUGUGUCUACCUCGUGUCCAUUAGUUAACAUUAUUAUAACAUUCCUUCAUAGUAGGGUAAUUUAUGUUCCGCUUCCACGCAAACAGCUUGAACUCCACUUGCCACAUUAUGCAUAAACUUAGUAGGUUCUGAUAUAACUCCUAGUGAAUCUUGCCAAUACAUUCAAUGUAUUGACCUUAGUGGCUGCAUCGUUUAAUGAUGCAGGAAGCUCCGACGACGAGUAAGAUGAACGUUCUGCUUAUUUGGGUUACGGACUUACAUUCCAACACGUUCUCACCGUGGUGUUGAUGUGCCCUUGUAUCUUUCGUUUUCCGCUGCUAAACAGUUAUUUUAUUUCCAGCUAACCCGUGAGGUUAUGCGAGUUGUAAAUACCCUUUAAAUUCUGGAUGAUUCGUUGUAAUAUUGAGACCUUUGUUCUAUGAUAUUACAUCUUGAAACUGUGUGUGCUAGUGAGUCAAUCCAGGGACUAGCACUAAAGCACAGAGAUCGAACCCGUGUACGGGGGCGGUCGCUUCAUGAUGAUUGGUGGGAAGGGGUCCGUGCAGCUUGGACUCCAGCCCAUGGAGCACCCACGUGGAUGUUUUUGUUGAGCAAUUCACUGCUAAGUACUACCCCAGUUCUUUACUGACAAGAUGGAGGUUGCCCUAAGGAACAUCCAACAAGGGAACCUGACCGUGGAUGAGUAAGAGACAGAAUUCAGUAAGAUCGUUCGCUUUGUUCCAUCAGUUGAUAAGAAUGAGCCAGCGAAGGCUAAGCGGUUCUUCGAAGGGAUGAAUUCGAGGUACCGAGAGGUCAUUGGGAUGAAACCACCAACUAACUAUCUGAAGGUGGUUGAGCAAGCUAGAGGGAUGGAGUUACAGGUACAGCUGACGGAGGCACGAGCGUCUCAUACUUCGAGGACUGAAGGCACAGGAAGUGGUCAUAAGAGGACUCGCCAGGAGGGGGAUGGGUCUACUCAGCGACCUAUAUUCAAGAAGUUCAAGUCAGGCCAGCGCAACCACCAAUCUUCCAAACCCAAGCUGUCAGGGCCUCACACAUCCUCAGCAUCACGCCCUACUUUUUUGAAACCUAUCCCAGGGCAAGGCAUGAUGUGUUUCAAGUGCGGUGAGGGACAUUGUGCUGCUGAGUGUGACUUUUCAGGGUCUUGUCGUCAUUGUGGCAAGAAUGGCCACAUGGGCAGGGUAUGCAAGGAGAAUCGAAACUCUAUCAUCAAGUGGCAAGUGGCUACAUCUUCAGGGGCACCUUCAGCAACAAUUAGUUCUUCUCGGGGACCAUCUACAUCAACUAGAUCGUCUCAUGGUUCUAUUCAGAUGAUGACAGCCCCUCCUCAUCAGUACUUGUCACAGUAUCAGCAGUUUCCACCUCAGUACCCUCAGUAUCAGGAGUAUCCUCCUCCGCCGCCAGGUUAUUACUGGCCUGCAGCUCCUCUGCCUGCUCCACACGCACCACUUCAGCUACCAGCACCACCUAUGGCUCCAGCAGCACAACAGAUAUCUGGAGAUUCUUCUUCGGCACAGGCAAGGAUUUAUACCAUGCCAACAGCUUCUUGUCUGGGCCGUUCAGAUGUGGUUACAGGUAUACUACCAGUGGAUUCCUUUGAUGCUUUCGUUCUCUUUGAUUCUGGUGCUACCUUUUCUUUUGUAUCGCUUGAUUUUGUUAAAAGAGCCCACCUGUCUAGUCAAGAGAUAUCCCAAUCCGUUCGAGUUAGUUCUCCUGGUGGGUUGAUCACCAGUUCAGUGGUUUGCCCCGGUUGUGUUAUCUCCUUAGAGGAUGAGGAUUUUGUGACAAAUUUGAUGGUAAUUCCUUUACCAACUUUUGAUAUUAUUCUUGGAAUGGAUUGGCUAUAUCGCUAUCGAGCAGUUAUAUCUUGUUUCUGAAAGACUAUCAGUUUGGAGGCCCCGUCAGGUAGAAAGAUAAUAUUUCAGGAGAGUGCACCCCCGCGUUUUCUAUCGGUUUUGGCUGCUUUGUUCCCUGGUCAAAGAGUUGUCAAGACCGGAAUCCUUUGGGCAUUGGUAGAGAAGCCAGGUAAGGACAAAUAGUGACUCCACGAAACAACCACUAACCUUGCAAGCCGAAAACGAAAAAAAACACAAACUCCUAUUGCGCAAUGUCAUUUUCCCUCCCGGCUCGAUGACGCCCUCAGGCCCUUAGCCGCGGCCCAGGACGGCACCAAUCGCGCAGAGGCCCUCUGCAUCUUUCCUCACGGCUCGAAGGCGACCGCUUGAAGCCUCACCUCCGCGGGGCCGCCGCCACCAGAUCCAGCCGCGCUGCCCCUGCACACUGCGUCUGGCGUGGCUGCUCUGGUCUCAACGCACGCUGCCGCUGCACACGCCCCAACCUGCGCCACCGCUGUUGCAUCGCCAUGCCCACACCACCCGCUCGCUGCAGAACGCUGCAGCCCGCCCCUCCGCUGCACACUCCAUCUCUCGCUGCAGAACACGCCCCGCCGCAGCCGUCUGCCACGCGGGCUUUGCCGUGAGGAGAGGCGAAAGUGGUCGAGCCGCCUCUCCGAGCGAGAGCAUAACUUUCGGAUCUCCGUUACAGAGUAGUUCGGUAUAUACUAGAGAUAAUUUCGGAUCUCCGUUCUAGUAACGGCCCUCUCUAGAUCAUAAGAAGAAUUUUGAAGGAAGAAUAGAGAAUUCUAAUUUUAAGGAAAAAUUCUUAUGCAUGCCCUUUAAAUCAAAGGGUUAGAUCAAUGGAGUUUCAUAGAAUAAAAAAAUUCCUCCAACUUUUGAAGAAAUUCAAACAUGAGGUUUAAGUAUAAAUUCAGAGGAAUUCUUUUAGAACUCCCAAUGCAUCUUCUCUCUGUCUGUCUCCUCUCUUUCUCCAAUUAAGUACCGCUAUUCGAAAUUACAGUGUUUUCCUAUCUAACAUCCAAAACACCUCUUCAUGAAAUUCCUGUGUUUUUGAUUCCGUGAAUCGAACAUGUGAAGGCAUUCUAAAUUUCUAAUCCAAGGAAGCACUAUCUAGACAGACGCACGUACGGACACAUGACAAGUCUAGCUUGUGCCGUCCUUUGCAGACAGUGACAUAUCUAGAGACAAAUGUUUGUAACCGAAGGUAAAAAAUGGGCAAGUGAUGGUCAGUGUGCUGUUCUAAUAACGUUUUUUUUUUCAGGCCUCGUUUGGUUGUAGUGUAUUAUAGGGUGUUCCAAGUAUUUUCCCCUAGUUUUGGUAUAUAUAAUCAGACACACAAAUGAUUGUAAAGAAGAAUGGUAAAUUGAAUGAUGUGUUUUGCUUGUAGGUAGUGGCCAUUGAUCAGGCUACACUGCAGUGCAUUACAAUCCUAGUGUGCUUAAAAAUAAGAGUGUAGAAGGGGGAAAAGAAACAAAGUAGAGUUGAGGCUACAGCUACAUAUAGCAUAUGGAGCUACAAUUACAACUCGACACUCAUUUCGCUGACUAGCACACGUGUUUGCUGAAUUACGUCACCACCAAUAGCAAAUAUGACUAUAUCACAACCCAACAGAUUAAGAUGGUGGACACAUCGGCUACAACCGAAUAGAAAUAAAUCUUCAAGCUGCUCACCCGGACAGAAAUGCAACUGCCUGCAGCGCUGGCUAAAGACUGAUCAUACCAAGUAGUUUAAACAUGCGCAAAGCCUGUAAUCUCUCCGCUUUGAGCUUCAUUGCCAGUUCUUUUGUAGCAAAAAUAUAAAAGGCACAAUGUUUUUACUUCCAUUUAGCUACAACGAUACUUUAUCUUCGAAAUUGACAAGGGGAGAAAAAGGGGAAGCAAACUUGUCAAGCUGCUGCUUGUAUGAUCUGUAAUGGCUCUUCUAGGGAUUAGGUACAGAGGCAAAAUAAACUCAACUUGCAGUAACAUACCUAAGUCAUUUGCCAGGAUCAGAGCUGAGGCACAUGAUGAUGAGAACUUCCAGCUGUUGUACCGUAAAAAACUCAACUCUUGCACUAACCUACCAAGAUGACCUAAAUCUGAAGCAUAAUUGACUACUAAUUUAACGGAUACUUGGCUUAUUAUGUUACUUGGGCUCUAUAAUGAACCAGAUCCAAAUUAUGUGGUUUAUCAAGGUUCUAUAAUGUCUUAAUAGUAAAUAGCUGACACUGUUUUCGUUAUUGGGUGCAUAUGAAUAAACUGAGUUUGCUCUCCUGAGUUCUGAUUCUUUUCUUAUUAGUUGAAUCCCUGAUACUAAAUACUACUCUAAUCAAUAGUCAUGGGGCAGGUCUAUGCUUCUGUAAUUUCUUAAUUAACAAUCACAUACACAAGCUAGUAGGUUGUAACAUGAGGAUAAAUAUUCAAUACACGCAUAGUUUUUCGUUGUAAAUGCACAAAUUCAAAAGUAUAUAGGUCAGACAGUACCAUCAGGGCCUAAAAAAUCAAAACGUUCAAGAAACAUAAAAACGUCACAAGACCAGUCAUCUUCCUAACCAGCGAACAAUCCCAUGGAUCUUAGGCCAAGAAGAGCAAAAAUCCUGGAAGAGCAAGAACCACAGACAAACCUCGGCGAGUCAGGAGAGAUGGUGGCAGUACCGGCGGCGGCGGCGGUUGGAUUCGUCGGAGUCGCCUGGACUUGCCGUGGAAUCGUCGGCGUCGCUCGAGGAUUCGUCGGUCGUCGCGGAGUCGUCUGCAGAAAGGAGUGCUCGCCGGGAUUGAGCUUCACGCCGCCGCGGACUCGUCGGGGUCGCCCUAAGACUCGUCGGCUGUCGUGGAGUCGUCGGCAGGACGAAGCGACCGCCAGGAUCGAGCUUCGGCUUUGGCAGCGCUCGUUGCGCCGCCGCGUCACGGCGUAAGACGUGUAUUGAAGGUUUUUUAUGGGCUUACCACCAGUCGAUACCGGGCUGCCAAAUGAAAUAUGGAGUGGAUCUGUGGGUAAACUAGCUUCUGGCCCGGUAAAAUACACUGGUAUUCUUCGAACUACCGGCCUGCCAAACGAGGCCUCAAGGGGAACCAAUGACCAUUCAAAUUCCCAACCAGGGAGCAAAAAUUCGGCCGAGCUAAACAGGCCAUAAAAACUAUGCCUCUUCUGCGAACUGGAUAACUUUGUUUUGAGGCCAUUACUGUUAGAGGGCCAUCCUGGCCCAAUAUGACGGUGUCGAUGUUAUAAUUGAAUGGAAUGAAGGUCUGUGUGAAGGCAUGAUGAAGAUCCCUACAGUUUAUAGGCUUUGUUAGCCUGUCGGAAUCCAUCUCGGUACAUUCUGAAUUUGUGAGGAAAUGUACCGAAGCCAAGCCUGUGGCCCCACAAGUUGUGGGUCUCCGAUUUCUGUAUGCUAUAGCAGGUGGGCUUCGGCCUUUUUGGUCCGUAUGCCAAGCUCGAGUAGUCGGGUAGCAGUACUUGUGUUGUGUUCCACUAAAUAAACUUGACCCCUCGACAAAAAAAAACUAAAUAAACUUGCGGUAAAAAAAAUACCU